This 301-nucleotide ribosomal RNA is filed under the name uncultured bacterium. RNAcentral describes it as "partial 16S ribosomal RNA". It matches the Rfam family "Bacterial small subunit ribosomal RNA", at positions 509 to 807 of the family's 1533-position model. The record is from RNAcentral.
CAGCCGCCGCGGUAAUACGAAGGGUGCAAGCGUUAAUCGGAAUUACUGGGCGUAAAGCGUGCGUAGGCGGUGAGUUAAGUCUGCUGUGAAAUCCCCAGGCUCAACCUGGGAAUGGCAGUGGAUACUGGCUCGCUAGAGUGUGUCAGAGGAUGGUGGAAUUCCCGGUGUAGCGGUGAAAUGCGUAGAGAUCGGGAGGAACACCGAUGGCGAAGGCAAUCCCCUGGGCCUGCACUGACGCUCAUGCACGAAAGCGUGGGGAGCAAACAGGAUUAGAUACCCCCGUAGUCCCUGUCUCUUAUAC